UACAGAGGCCCCAAGCAUUAUCCGGAAUCAUUGGGCGUAAAGGGUGUCUCGGCGGCCAUAUUAGUCGUUCGUUAAAUCCGUGGGCUCAACCUGCGGCAUGCGAGCGAAACGGUAUGGCUCGAGGGCGUAAGGGGUGCAUGGAACUCAUGGUGGAGGGGUGAAAUCCGUUGAUAUCAGGGGGAACACCAAAAGCGAAGGCAGUGCACUGGUACGUUACUGACGCUCAAGCACGAAAGCGAGGGUAGCGAAUGGG
RNAcentral lists this ribosomal RNA (253 nucleotides) under uncultured bacterium. RNAcentral's name for it is "partial 16S ribosomal RNA". It matches the Rfam family "Bacterial small subunit ribosomal RNA", at positions 524 to 776 of the family's 1533-position model. The record is from RNAcentral.